AACGCACAUUGCGCCCGCUAGUAUUCUGGCGGGCAUGCCUGUCCGAGCGUCAUUUCAACCCUCAAGCCCCCGGGCUUGGUGUUGGGGAUCGGCGAGCCUCCGCGCCCGCCGUCCCCUAAAUCUAGUGGCGGUCUCGCUGUAGCUUCCUCUGCGUAGUAGCACACCUCGCACUGGGAAACAGCGCGGCCACGCCGUUAAACCCCCAACUUCUGAACGUUUGACCUCGGGUCAGGUAGGAAUACCCGCUGAACUUAA
Molecule: unclassified non-coding RNA, 255 nt
Filed under: uncultured Nectriaceae
Lineage: Eukaryota; Fungi; Ascomycota; Sordariomycetes; Hypocreales; Nectriaceae
Description: sequence contains ITS2
Source: RNAcentral